Molecule: ribosomal RNA, 252 nt
Filed under: uncultured bacterium
Lineage: Bacteria
Description: partial 16S ribosomal RNA
Rfam family: Bacterial small subunit ribosomal RNA
Source: RNAcentral
UACGUAAGUCCCGAGCGUUGUCCGGAUUUAUUGGGGGUAAAGCGAGCGCAGGUGGUUUAUUAAGUCUGGUGUAAAAGGCAGUGGCUCAACCAUUGUAUGCAUUGGAAACUGGUAGACUUGAGUGCAGGAGAGGAGAGUGGAAUUCCAUGUGUAGCGGUGAAAUGCGUAGAUAUAUGGAGGAACACCGGUGGCGAAAGCGGCUCUCUGGCCUGUAACUGACACUGAGGCUCGAAAGCGUGGGGAGCAAACAGG